UACGGGGGGGGUAAGCGUUGUUCGGAAUUACUGGGCGUAAAGGGCUCGUAGGCGGCCAACUAAGUCAGACGUGAAAUCCCUCAGCUUAACUGGGGAACUGCGUCUGAUACUGGAUGGCUUGGAUUCGGGAGAGGGAUGCGGAAUUCCAGGUGUAGCGGUGAAAUGCGCAGAUAUCAGGAGGAACACCGGUGGCGAAGGCGGGUCUCUGGGCAGUAACUGACGCUGAGGAGCGAAAGCGUGGGGAGCGAACAGG
This 253-nucleotide ribosomal RNA is filed under the name uncultured bacterium. Its description in RNAcentral is "partial 16S ribosomal RNA". It matches the Rfam family "Bacterial small subunit ribosomal RNA", at positions 524 to 776 of the family's 1533-position model. The record is from RNAcentral.